CGGGGCAAAGUCCAUCUCUCUCAUCGCUGGCUUCUACUCAUCAUUAAUGCAGAAGAUAAUGGCUUCACCAGAGGUCAUCAGCGGAGGAACGAGGCCCGGGGACAUGUACUCUCCGAGCAAGAAUGCACACCGCUGCGGGCUGUCGACUGAGUGCAUUGUUUGUAUGCAAACACACACACACACACACACAGAGCUUGCACACACAGAAAAUGCUACCAUGCAUAUAGUCUUUAACUACGUCUUCAUGCCAGUGUGUGACCCUUUUCUACUGACAUCCGUAUCUCCUCUGCUUUUAACUCAUGGCCCGCUUUCACUUUGAAGAUCUCAAUUUUGUCAUUUUAAUGUGCCGCCUGCCCCCUGGCCACGUUUCAAAGAUACGUCCCUCCUGGGAUGGUUAAAUUUUGUCAGCACAUGAUGUCCUCGGGUCCAAAUAAGACGAGCGCUCCAAGGGCACAAGCGCGGAGACGCCGGCAUCUCAGGGGAGGCGAGGUUACAUUAGUCCUCUCUGAUCGUGCUGGCUUAUUUUCAAAAAUGGGACAAAGAUGUCUGCCAGCAGAGCGCAGUGUUGCCUCAAAAGCGGCUUCUCUUCAUACUCCUUACACUUUCAUCUGGCUUUUUCAUCCGGCCGAUUGACAGUGCGACACCUUUAUCUCGCAGCCCGGGUGACAUGUUUUUGUCUCUUUGCUUUAACACAACACAAAGGCAGGCUCUGAACAAGCCGAGCCGUGGACAGAAAGAGAGAGAGAGCGUUGUUUUGCGUAAAAUUGUCAGAUGAAACGGCAGCAUUGCUCGUGUCCCCGAGCCAUGGCCAAGCUGUCAAAGUGUGUUGGGUCGUAAAAGGCUACGCUCUCUACACUGUCCCUUUUCUGCUUGUCACAUGUCGACAGUUACACACAUAAACUAUUUGUGUGUACGCCGCGGCGGCCCGCCUCCGCUCUCGCUUCGGGGGCUCCGCGGUGCAAAGUUAAGUUUGGGCAUAUUGAAGCGCCUCGGCUUUUGUAUCCAUAAGCAAACAAAAUAAGUUCUCCCCCGUAGCUGCAGGGUUGUGUUUGGAAUAGCACUCCAUUGUCUCCGAAUCAAACUUCUGUUCCCUCGGGCCUCCUUGAUCAGAGAGCAGUAACAGAUACAGGCCUUUGUGUCCAAUGGGGGGAGGAAAAAAGACUAAAGGUUUUGGGUUACCUGUCACACAGGCCUGAUAAGAGCCAAGGAGAGCAGAAAAUGACGACAAAGCUAAAAAUCAAACCCCCCCCUGCCCCUGUUGCCGCGGGCCAAAAAGCGGGCCCCGGCCCCCCUCAGGCCUCUCAGGGCCUUGGCAGAAGCCAGUCACACACAUCACAUGGCAUUACUCGGGAUGGGGUUACAGGAAAAUGUCAGCCGACGCAUAAGGAGAAAGAACCAUCGGCCCAUAGGAUAAUUAGAUUGCCCCAGGGAGGUGCAAUCUUGCAUUCCCACGAUUCCCCUCUUUCCACCCACGCCCUCUUUUCAUUGUAUUCCUCUCUCUCCGCCGCUUAUUUCGUGUUUUCAAUUCGGUCUGUUUGCUCGGCAGCAUACUAUAUUUGCACUAUUGUUGUAAUGGAGCAUCGUGUUCCAGAAAGGGCUGCUGUGUAUAUAUAAGGCGCAUUCUGCAAAUUCUCUAUUGUCAUUAACACGCAUCUGAAUGAAACUCAUCCCUCAGCUUUGAGGAAGUCUGCCAGUCAGGGGAAUUGAACACAAUGCCUUUUCAACACUCUCUCAACCACUUGUCCAAAAAUGACCAGCUCAGUUUUGGAUGUACAAUUCAUGGUUUUAUAUGUUUACGCAAGUUGGCUAAAGUAGAGUUACUUUGGUGCAGAUUUGCUACAAAAAAAAAAAGUAUUCAUGUAUUUUUUUCCAUUGCAUUUAGAAUUACAGUAGCGCCUCAAUUUACAAGCUUAUUGAUUCUAUGAUGGGGCUCUUAACUCAAGACACUUGCUUCUCAAAUCAACGUCUCCUAUUUAAAUUAAUCGAAAAACAAUUUAUUUGGUGCUUACCUCUCACCCCAAACAGCACAAUUUUAACAUGUAACACAUUUAAAAAAAACAAAAAAACAAUUUAAAUAAGAAAUAUUGUAUGAGAAAUAACUUAGCCUUAGACUUAGACAAACUUGAAUGAUCCGCAAGAAAAAUUGUUCCACACAGUAGCUCAGUUACAAAGGAUGGAGGGGAUAAGGAUGGAAAGGGUAAUGCACACAAGGGCACAAAAAGAGGGCAAAAACAAAAGGUAUGAAGUAGACUAGAAAUGUACCAUAGUAACAAUAUAAAAUGUAACGUGUAAUAUUUACAUAUUAUAUAUACAGUAUGUAAUAUGAACUGAUAUAUUAUUAUCCAAAUCCCAACUACCAUGUACAAUAUUACUGUAUAUGUAACAACUGCUGCAAAAAUACAAUACAUAGAAUAGAACGUACUACAGUAGUUUUAUGAAGUAAUGCAAUAAUAAUGUACAGCAUUUACGUUUGAGAGUUAUCCGUCAAACACACCAUCAGCAGCUUCUCCAAAUUUCAAUGUUAUGUAUGUCGUUUGAAUAUUAUUUCAACGUCCAUGGCUGAUGUACACCUGUUCCGAUUCCGUAUGGUGCAGACUAGCAGUAAUACUCUCAAAUUGCUUCUCCAAGUUUGUUACAUGCUUGGUCAUGUUUUUGAUGAUAGUUUUUCUUCAAUUCAAUAGUAUAAUCCACUUCUUCUUCUCAUCACUGUCCUUCAAACCCACAUUCAUCCUUCCCAUGGUCAGAAAGUUAUCACCAUCUCUAGCUGUACGCUAAAGCUAACAAUUAAGACCAGAUGUUUUGGUCAGAUCUUACGGGGUUUAAUGUGGUAUUUGCUACCCCAACGAAUGGAGGGGAUGCUUGUAAGUCAAACGCUAACUUGUAAUUUAAAGCAUAAUAGCUAGCUGAAACACAGCUCUUUUCUCAAAACACUCUUAAGUUUGGGCAUUCUUAAGUUGAGGUACCAAUGUAAAUAACUGUUUUUCUUUCAUUUCUUUGGCAACUUAAUUCUGCAGCCUGCAGUAUAGAGAGACUACGGCCAACUUGGUUUCAAAGUUGGAAGCAAACAUGGCGCCCUGUAGUCACGGGAGGGGCUUUUUACUUAUCAUUUGGGAAUUCCUCUGGCCAUACUUUCUCUGAUUGGUCAAAGGCCCUCAUGUGACUUAAGGGCGCCAUGUUUGCUACAACCUUUAAAACCAUGUUAACCACACUCUCUCCUGCUCUGCAAUGUGUAUAGCUGCCACCUACAGGCCUGUAGUGAAAUAUUUAUUGUUUAUACUAUCCUUUUUCAUAUGUACCAGCAUUUCACAGCAUUUUUUCAAAGUAAAAUGCUGUAUUUAAAAUAUAUUCUAGUCCAUGGUUCUCGCCCGGAAAAGGGUGGAGUGCCAUCUCCGGGUUGGGGAGGAGACCCUGCCCCAAGUGGAGGAGUUCAAGUACCUAGGAGUCUUGUUCACGAGUGAGGGAAGAGUGGAUCGUGAGAUCGACAGGCGGAUCGGUGCGGCGUCUUCAGUAAUGCGGACGUUGUGCCAAUCCGUUGUGGUGAAGAAGGAGCUGAGCCGGAAGGCAAAGCUCUCAAUUUACCGGUCGAUCUACGUUCCCAUCCUCACCUAUGGUCAUGAGCUUUGGGUCAUGACCGAAAGGAUAAGAUCACGGGUACAAGCGGCCGAAAUGAGUUUCCUCCGCCGUGUGGCUGGGCUCUCCCUUAGAGAUAGGGUGAGACGCUCUGCCAUCCGGGAGGAACUCAAAGUAAAGCCGCUGCUCCUCCACACCGAGAGGAGCCAGAUGAGGUGGUUCGGGUAUCUUGUUAGGAUGCCACCCGAACGCCUCCCUAGGGAGGUGUUUAGGGCACGUCCAACCGGUAGGAGGCCAUGGGGAAGACCCAGGACACAUUGGGAAGACUAUGUCUCCCGCCUGGCCUGGGAACGCCUCGGGAUCCCCCGGGAAGAGCUAGACGACGUGGGUGGGGAGAGGGAAGUCUGGGUUUUCUUGCUUAGGCUGCUGCCCCCGUGACCCGACCUCGGAUAAGCGGAAGAUGAUGGAUGAAUGGAUGGAUGUAGCAUUACAGCAAAUGGGGCAGCACGGUGGGAAAAAGUGGUUGGUGCGUCUGCCUCACAAUACGAAGGUCCUGAAGUGUCCUGGGUUCAAUCCCGGGCUCGGGAUCUUUCUGUGUGGAGUUUGCAUGUUCUCCCCGUGACUGCGUGGGUCCCUUCCAGGUACUCCGGCUUCCUCCCACCGCCAAAAAUAUGCACCUGGUAAUACCGGUAGGUUGAUUGGACACAAUAAAUUGACUUUAGUGUGUGAAUGGGAGUGCAAAUGUUGUCUGUCUAUCUGUGUUGGCCCUGUGAUGAGGGGGUGACUUGUCCAGGGUGUACCCCGCCUUUUGCCCGAAUGCAGCUGAGAUAGGUUCCAGCAACCCCCCGCGCCCCGGACGGGACAAGCGGUAGAAAAUGGAUGGAUGGCAUUAAACCAAAUGACUGUAAAAUGGUGAUACCUUUCGAUUUCUCAAUAAUGAACUCUUAUUAUGAGGUAAUCCAAUUAUUUGUCAUGAGGGCGGUUCUCCUGCUUUUUUUCCCCUCUUGUGUCUGCAAGUCCCCUCCCCGGUCAUCAGUUGCAGGUGUGCUGCCAGUCAUCCGAGCCCACCUGCAGCUAAUCAACAACCUGACUUAAACCCUGGAUCUCCACCCAGCCAGUGCCUGUUCGUCCGUUACCUGCGGUACAAUCCUGCCUGAACUCAAUUAUUCCGACCUUUGCCCUGAACCCUUUUUGAUUCCUGUUUUUGUAUUUCCUCAGAGGGUGAAUAGACUUUUGACCCAGUUUUCCUGGAGCUGAUUUUUUGUUACUAUUGAAUUAUUUUCUCCAAUGAUUUUUGGUUAUUAAAUAGAUUUUUUACUGAUCCACACUUGGAUUCCUUUUUUGAGACCUUAACAUUAUCAUUAAUAUUUUUUUGUAAAUAUACAAAUACAUUUUUUUGCAGUGAGCGUGAGACGGGAAGUUAAGUUCUGAUAACCGUUUGAUCCUUACUCAGAAUGUAUUUGCAAAAGCUGUGUUCCCAAAGGACGUUUUGGUGAAAAUUCCAAAUCAGUAUUGAUCGUUAUCUUGUUUGUUUUGUGCAUUUAUAAAUUUUCAACUUUAUUUAUCAUUUGUACAGAGCAACUACUUAAGAAAUCGAAAUGUUUGAAAAGCAAUAUUGUGAGUUUCCUGUUAUUACUGCAAUGGUAAUGUAAGGCAUUUAGACCAUAGGUGUCAAAUUUAAGAUCCACAGGCCUGACCUGGCCAGUAGGGAUUGGUGAUAUGGACUACAACAAUAACCUGCCAUUCAUGGUGAAAAUGAUAAAAGUGAAGUUAAAAAACACCCAUAAAACUCCACCUUAUGACCAUGAGUCUGUCAGUGCAUCCAGUCUUCAAAGCCCCUUAAACAUGACUAAGAUAACACUAAGGCUAAUGAACUACAUCAAUUAAGUUUAAGUAGCACACCUAUACUGCAAAGCUGUAGUGGUGUGCUUUGCUUAUAGGGUUGCCAACUGUCCCUUGAAAAAACAGAAUUGUCUCAUUUUUAGAAACCGUGUUGAACUGUAAGGGGAUGCACUUUGCUUUGUUUUUAUUAUGUGACCAACAUAGCCUAUUAUUUUGUAUUCAUGUUGGUGCGCCCUGUAAAGUUCGAGGAAAAAGGUACACACGCCAGUUUUGACUAGGCGGUUUUGCUGCAGUCGGCAACAUGCACCGUGCAGGCAUCUUGUCAGUGCAGCCGACAACCAAAUGCAGUUGGUCCGAGGUCGUGCACAAGUCAUCAUUCACUGAGGAUUUUUCACAUCCAGUUUGCACCCUUCACUAGGGGAAGAGAGGAGCAGACAACCGCAUGGUCGCACGUGCAUGAGACGCAGCCCGAGCGGAGAGGAGGAGAAGACGGCAGGAGAGUUCAUUGCAGAUGUCUGAGUGCGUCUGACAGAGAGGACAGCCCCCAAGGCAGGUCCCAGCCCCUCAGCACCCAAAAUGACACAUGACUGCUUUGACUUUUGUCAUCCUCUGCACCCUAAACCAGAACCUCCAACACACACACAC
Molecule: long non-coding RNA, 6057 nt
Organism: Nerophis ophidion (straightnose pipefish)
Lineage: Eukaryota; Metazoa; Chordata; Actinopteri; Syngnathiformes; Syngnathidae
Exons: 3
Source: RefSeq, a predicted model, not a curated record